This 380-nucleotide ribosomal RNA is filed under the name uncultured bacterium. RNAcentral describes it as "bacterial SSU rRNA". It matches the Rfam family "Archaeal small subunit ribosomal RNA", at positions 473 to 853 of the family's 1478-position model. The record is from RNAcentral. RNAcentral also lists the same sequence under 1 other name.
AUACCAGCACCCCGAGUUGUCGGGACGAUUAUUGGGCCUAAAGCAUCCGUAGCCUGUUCUGCAAGUCCUCCGUUAAAUCCACCUGCUCAACGGAUGGGCUGCGGAGGAUACCGCAGAGCUAGGAGGCGGGAGAGGCAAACGGUACUCAGUGGGUAGGGGUAAAAUCCAUUGAUCUACUGAAGACCACCAGUGGCGAAGGCGGUUUACCAGAACGCGCUCGACGGUGAGGGAUGAAAGCUGGGGGAGCAAACCGGAUUAGAUACCCGGGUAGUCCCAGCUGUAAACGAUGCAGACUCGGUGAUGGGUUGGCCUCGAGCCAACCCAGUGCCGCAGGGAAGCCGUUAAGUCUGCCGCCUGGGGAGUACGGUCGCAAGACUGAA